CUACGGGUGGCUGCAGUGAGGAAUAUUGCACAAUGGGGGGAACCCUGAUGCAGCAACGCCGCGUGGAGGAUGACGCAUUUCGGUGUGUAAACUCCUUUUAUAUGUCAAGAAAAUGACGGUAGCAUAUGAAUAAGCACCGGCUAACUCCGUGCCAGCAGCCGCGGUAAUACGGAGGGUGCAGGCGUUACUCGGAAUCACGGGGCGUAAAGGACGCGUAGGCGGGGUGGGAAGUCAGGUGUGAAAUCCUACAGCUUAACUGUAGAACUGCACUUGAAACUUCUAAUCUAGAGUAUGGGAGGGGGAGAGGGAAUUAGUGGUGUAGCGGUAAAAUCCGUAGAUAUCACUAGGAAUACCUAAAGCGAAGGCGAUCUCCUGGAACAUUACUGACGCUAAGGCGUGAAAGCGUGGGGAGCAAACAGGAUUAGAUACCCCCGUAGUC
This 439-nucleotide ribosomal RNA is filed under the name uncultured bacterium. RNAcentral's name for it is "partial 16S ribosomal RNA". It matches the Rfam family "Bacterial small subunit ribosomal RNA", at positions 339 to 795 of the family's 1533-position model. The record is from RNAcentral.